UCCACUUGAUCAGCAGCCACUGGAGUAGAUUCCUCUUCAGUCACCACUUCAGGUUGAAUCUUCACUCCUUCUGGUAGGAGUUCUAUAUGAAAUGACAUGAUCAUGGAUGUUUAUGCUUAUGCAACUUGAAAAGAAAAUACUAACAAAACAUCACAACACUUAUACCUCUUUAAAGGUGCACACAAAAACUAACAAAACCAUAAGAGAGCUAAAUACUCUAAUAUCACAACACAAUUCACCAACCAAACUAGGAAACCUUGCCUCUAUAACCAACCAAGUGCUUCAUUUAUGCCUUAAGCAAGGAUCCAAACUGCAUGUACUACAAGUUAAGGUGUCCAAAAUUCAGCCACCUUCCACUAAACUUGUUUUCAGUUUUCUGAAACAGACAUCUCACACAGACUGAUAGAAGAAACUUAGGCAUAUUUUAUUCUAAAUUUUAUACAGCUCCAAACUUAUUUCUCUGUAAGAAACUUGUUCACCCAACACAGCUACAAAUCUCUUCUAUAAGGUUUUUAGCUUAUAACCUUACAUACCAAGUGUUAGGGUGCAUUAAAGUUGAGCAAACACACGGAAAAUCCAUUUUCCCAAUCUGAAACAGCACAUUACUAGGUCUGACAGAGAGUUUUGUCACUCCUUUUUCUCCAAAUUCUACAAAGUAGCAAGCCAACACUUCGCAUGAGACUUGCUCUCCUUUACAUGGUCUUUGACUUUGCUAUAGCAUUCUUAUCCCAAUUCUUCUUGGAUUAAUUACCACAAGGACCCAAAAUUGAAUAAACACACAAAUUCAGACUUAAAUAUUAUUUUAAGUCUGAAUCCUAACACCUGACAGUCCACCUUUUGGCCACUUUUAUUUCCAAAUUUAUGUGGAACCAAGUCCACCACACUUUACAAAACUUACUCUCUUUACUAUGGUCUCCAGCUUUGCUAUGUAAACUUUAAUCCAAAACCCCAUGAACCAGUCACAAAUGAAUUACAAACUAGGCAUACUGUUGCAAUUCAGUUCACAGAACUGAAUAAAAAAUUCAGUUGUGUUCAGCCUGACUGUCCAAAUUUAGACAACCUUUUCUCCAAUUUUUACACAGCAACAAACCAAGCUCACAUUACCAAAGUUAUUCCUUAGAUAUAGCUCUAUUACUUUGGUAUAGUACCCCUAGGUUGAAAACAUUCAGAACAAUUUUUAUGAAGCACCAAAGUGGAGCUCAACACAUUAGAAUAUAGUUUCAGCUUUCUGCACUAAAUCUGGGAUCCAAAAAUCCGAUAGCCAAUUUUUGAGCGAAUUUUACAUCUAGUUUAGAGCAACAGACAGUGGUAGAGUUCAAGAACUAACUUGUGUGAGCUUCAUCGGCCAACAAAGAUUACUGAACAAGCAACAUGGACAUUACCUGCUGGAGUUACUCUGCUAUAGCAAGGUGAAGUUCCACUGACCCAAACCGAAGGGCACUGAUCAAGGGCAGGUUUCACUGAAUAUAUAUAGGCAAAAGGGUCCCUGAUCUUUGCCCACAACUCGGUGAGGAGAUAAUACCAGGGUGCCAACACUGCAUGGCUGACAUACUUGCAUGUUU
This 1562-nucleotide long non-coding RNA is filed under the name Zea mays. RNAcentral's name for it is "long non-coding RNA (ZMAY_LNC003937)". The record is from RNAcentral. Lineage: Eukaryota; Viridiplantae; Streptophyta; Magnoliopsida; Poales; Poaceae.